AGCGAAAUGCGAUACUUGGUGUGAAUUGCAGAAUCCCGUGAACCAUCGAGUCUUUGAACGCAAGUUGCGCCCGAAGCCGUCAGGCUGAGGGCACGCCUGCCUGGGUGUCACUAAUCGUCGCCCCCCAGCCUAACAUAACAUUAGGCGGGGCGAAUGCUGGCUUCCCGCGAGCUCGAGGCUCGCGGUUGGUCGAAAAUCGGGUUCGUGGCGGAGCGUAUCGCCGCGACAGACGGUGGUUGAGUGCAAUCUCGAGGCCGAGUCGCGCGCGUCCCUCCGCACCGGUUACGUACCCCGGGACCCGUGAGCGACACCGAUCGCCCGUGAUGCGACCUCAGGUCAGGCGG
This 344-nucleotide ribosomal RNA is filed under the name Pterocarpus lucens subsp. lucens. Its description in RNAcentral is "eukaryotic LSU rRNA". The stretch from base 1 to 110 matches the Rfam family "5.8S ribosomal RNA", at positions 47 to 154 of the family's 154-position model. Lineage: Eukaryota; Viridiplantae; Streptophyta; Magnoliopsida; Fabales; Fabaceae. The record is from RNAcentral.